RNAcentral lists this ribosomal RNA (433 nucleotides) under uncultured bacterium. RNAcentral's name for it is "partial 16S ribosomal RNA". It matches the Rfam family "Bacterial small subunit ribosomal RNA", at positions 29 to 507 of the family's 1533-position model. The record is from RNAcentral.
AACGAACGCUGGCGGCAUGCCUAACACAUGCAAGUCGAACGAGACCUUCGGGUCUAGUGGCGCACGGGUGCGUAACGCGUGGGAACCUGCCCUUAGGUUCGGAAUAACUCCCCGAAAGGGGUGCUAAUACCGGAUAAUGUCUUCGGACCAAAGAUUUAUCGCCUUUGGAUGGGCCCGCGUUGGAUUAGCUAGUUGGUAGGGUAAAAGCCUACCAAGGCGACGAUCCAUAGCUGGUCUGAGAGGAUGAUCAGGCACACUGGGACUUAGACACGGCUCAGACUCCUAGGGGAGGCAGGAGUGGGGAAUAUUGGAGAAAGGGCGAAAGGCUGAUCCAGCCAUGGCGGGUGGGUGAUUAAGGGCUUAGGGUUGUAAAGCCCUUUUACCCGGGAUGAUAAUGACAGUACCGGGAGAAUAAGCUCCGGCUAACUCCGUG